AGCUUUGUAGUCAAUUAUGAUUUUAAAUUGCAAAUUUAAAGGUAAGUUUUAAACUUUUUAGCUU
This 64-nucleotide transfer RNA is filed under the name Phalacridae sp. BMNH 840198. RNAcentral describes it as "tRNA-Cys". The record is from RNAcentral. Lineage: Eukaryota; Metazoa; Arthropoda; Insecta; Coleoptera; Phalacridae.